AAAAAAAAAAACAAAAAAAGAAGCAAAAAGAUAUAAUUCCUUCUGAAAAAAGUAAGGCAACCAGAAGUAAAUCCUUCUUGAACUCUGUUUAAUAUGGUUGUGUGCCAGGGCUGUGGGGGUGGCUUAGUGGCAAUGCUUGCCCAAGGCCAUAGGUUCCUUAUCUCUUGGCUGGUUCCUGCAGCAAGCCAUACACAAUGGAUCACUAGCACUGCAAAAUAGCAAUUCAUAUGGCUUGCUACCAGGUAGCUUUGCUACCUCUAACCUUGACCCCAGACAAUGGGAGGACAGAAAGGGGGAGGGAGGGAGACAGUAUAGAACAGAAGAAAGGCUUGGUGUGUCUCCAGCUGCCACCUAGACUCCUUGCUAGGACUUUUGCUGGCACCUGCAAACCUGUCCCAGGACUAGCUCAUCUCUGCAAUGGCUUAAAUUUCUUUACUUCAGGGAGCCUGCUCUCACGAAUUUUGCUUUGGGGCUCAGGGUGGAACACCAUGGUAGAGCACUUGCUUAGAUGCAUACAGCCCUGGGUUCAAAUCCCCAGAUUACACAAAUUGGGGCGGAGAGGGGGUGACACAUCUAUUUUUUAUAGUUCCACACACACCAUCCUGCCAGAGACACAUCUGUGCAAAGACAAAUGCCAAGUCCAACAGUGAACUCACCCUUCCCCUCCCAGUAGACACACAGUGACACCAGGACCUCUCAUGAGUCAGAGCUUUCCCCAGCUGGCAGGCACAGUGCCCUUCACCUCUGCCUUCAUGGGGUUACCACACUUCCUUCCACCCCACUGCUCCCCACAACCCUUCCCAUCUGCACUCUUGUCUGAAUGCUGACUGAAAGGAUGGCAGUGCUCAUGGCCAUAGCACACAGAAAGUGGCCUCCAAGUGGCAGGCACAAUGACUGCUUUAUCUCUUGGCUGGCUCCUGCAGCGUGCUAUACACACUGGAUAAAGGACUGGCAUCACCUUCACCUUUACCUGCCCCAAGAGUUAACCUUCAGACUGGAUGUCAUCCAAAUGGAGACUUGGGAAGAAUGCAAAACUGGGUGGCCUUAGUGUAUUGAACCCUCUGAAACCAAACAGACAAUUAUGAAAGAAAAGUGGAAUCUCAGAGUCAAGGCCAACUGCCACCAGAGGAACAACACGAACUAGACUUUGGAUUGAAUUAUUGCCUCUGUUCUGACUCCCUGGAAAAUAUGCUAAGGGGAGAUGGUUUGGGGAAGGCAAAGUCCCUCCCAGACUGCCAGCUCUCUGAGUAAAGUACUUCUUAAAGAUUUGAUUCCUGUUUUUUAUUUUUUGUCAAUC
Molecule: long non-coding RNA, 1297 nt
Filed under: Cricetulus griseus (Chinese hamster)
Lineage: Eukaryota; Metazoa; Chordata; Mammalia; Rodentia; Cricetidae
Description: lncRNA (ENSCGRG00015037650.1)
Source: RNAcentral